RNAcentral lists this ribosomal RNA (459 nucleotides) under uncultured bacterium. Its description in RNAcentral is "partial 16S ribosomal RNA". It matches the Rfam family "Bacterial small subunit ribosomal RNA", at positions 338 to 795 of the family's 1533-position model. The record is from RNAcentral.
CCUACGGGUGGCAGCAGUGAGGAAUAUUGGUCAAUGGCCGAGAGGCUGAACCAGCCAAGUCGCGUGAGGGAAGAAUGUCCUCUGGAUUGUAAACCUCUUCUGUCAGGGAGCAAAGUCACCCACGUGUGGGUGUUGGAGUGUACCUGAAGAAAAAGGAUAGGCUAACUCCGUGCCAGCAGCCGCGGUAAUAGGGGGGAGGCGAGCGUUGUCCGGAUUUAUUGGGUUAAAAGGGUACGUAGGCGGGUGAUCAAGUCAGCGGUAAAAUCGUGGAGCUCAACUCCAUCCAGCCGUUGAAACUGAUGAUCUUGAGUGGGCGAGAGGUAUGCGGAAUGCGUGGUGUAGCGGUGAAAUGCAUAGAUAUCACGCAGAACUCCGGUUGCGAAGGCAGCAUACCGGCGCCCGACUGACGCUGAAGAACGAAAGCGUGGGUAUCGAACAGGAUUAGAUACCCUUGUAGUC